RNAcentral lists this long non-coding RNA (964 nucleotides) under Prunus persica (peach). RNAcentral describes it as "long non-coding RNA (PPER_LNC000235)". The record is from RNAcentral. Lineage: Eukaryota; Viridiplantae; Streptophyta; Magnoliopsida; Rosales; Rosaceae.
UUGGAGAUGAUCUAAGGAAUCUAGAAUGGACUGCUUCUCGUAUGAGGUGAGGGAAAAAAAUCUGAAAUAGCUGAAUGCACAUGUUUCUUCCAUAUAUUGGAACUGUUCUUGGUGUCUGGGGUUGGCUUUGGACGGCUGUGGGAGGAAGUAUGGUAUUUUUUCAAUUUUUUUUUCAAUUUUUCAAUUUAUAUUAUUCUACUUUAUUAAUAUGUUAGUUCAUAUGGACGAUUCUGACCCUCAAAAUGACAGCCAUAUUGAUAGAAGGUAACAGAAUGACUUAAUUGGAAUAGAUGAGAGAGUUGGAUGACCUAUUUGCUUAAAAAAAAGUUCCGGGACUCAAUUAAAAUUGUUAAACUUUAGGGACCUCUUAAUAGAUUCAUAUUUUGCAUAUAUAAUCUAUCUCUAUUUGCAUUGUUUUCAUGGAAAAUUGGUUAGUUUAAUGUGCUUAAUGAGGAUUUUGUAGGAAAUUAUUCAUAGCAAGGGUGUGGAGCUAAAAUUAUGAUUUUAGAAGCUUAAGGGAUCAAAAUGAGUGGAAUUAUCAACUUAACGAAAUCUCAAGAACUCACUGUAUCAUUUCAUCGAACACCUGGAGUGCAUAUAUGCAAGUGUCAAUUUAUACUCACAACUGGUCUCAGUGACCAGCGCAAAAAAUAUAGAGUUAGAGAAAUUUACAAUUAUUUUGGAGCCGAAAUCGUGCGAAGACCCAUUUCGCGCUUAUUGAGAAGUUGUCGUCGAAUGAAGUGUUAGCAUUUGCUGAAGCAUUGGCUAGGCUUUAUUAAUCAUGUUGAGAUUCACUAUUACCAUGGCUAGGCUUUCUUUGCCCCGUCACUUUUUCUCUCAGCCGAUAAAAGAAGAGUAGCCUUAGACUUGUAAAAGAAUUAAAAGAGUCUCAGCCGCUCCUUUCUCCUUUUCCAAUUGGGACUUUCCCAUUAUUUCUAUUAUUUCCAUUAAUUUCCUAUUGUCC